AGGAAUUCAGAGAAAAGAGAGGGUGCCUUCACCAAUAAUCCAAGAUGACUCGGAUCAUCCAGAGUGUACUCCUUCGACUUAUUAAAAAAGUUAACGGUAAGACAGCCUCAGGCAGGUUCUUCAGGAGGUAUCCAGAAGAAGGCACUGUUACCACAGGAGAUGACAGCUCCGUGCACGCUUUUGCCCCUGCAGACCUUCCAGUGGGACAAGACCUUCCAGUGGGACAAGACCUUCCAGUGGGACAAGAUCCAGUGGGACAAGAUCCCACCUGAAGACCUUCCAGUGGGACAAGAUCUGGAGGUGGAAGACAGUGAUACUGAUGAACCUGACGCCAUGGAGGCCUAGGCUAAUGUGUGUGGUUGUGUCUUAGUUUGUAACAAAAGAAGUUUGAAAAGCAAAAAUAAAAAUUCAAAAAUUCAAAAAUA
Symphalangus syndactylus (siamang) is the source of this 425-nucleotide long non-coding RNA. RefSeq lists it as uncharacterized. The record is from RefSeq and is a predicted model, not a curated record. NCBI's taxonomy places the organism in Eukaryota, Metazoa, Chordata, Mammalia, Primates, Hylobatidae.